CCCUCAAUCUGCCCCCCUCCCACACAGCUGCUCCUCUACCCAUCUUUCCAUCCCUGCUCAGCCCUUCUCCUCCCACCUUGGCCCCUCAACUCCUGAGAACCCCUGGAGCCUCGAGCCUCUUCCCUGUUAUGGACUCUGGAGGGGCUCAGAGCCCCAUGAGCUGCCAUGGGAGGCUGAAACGGGCUGGCUGGGAACACAAAAUGAACCUCACCCACCAACACUUUGUAUUGGUCACACCCAGAGCUUCCUCUUGGAAGGCAGGAAGGUUUCAAGGGCCCCAGGGAUCUUCACCCCAAUUUCUUCCUUAAAUCUGUUAAAAAUUAUGGUGAAAAACUCAUAACAUUACAUUCCCUACCAUUCACCGGGAACCAGGAUACAGAUGAGCAGGGGUAUCAAUAUUCUCAGGGGCGUACAAUGCAUCUCUAGCACCCGUUCGUUUUGUAACAGGAAGUCUGUACCCACAGUUUCCUGUUUGCUCCUCCUCGCCCCCACCAGCCCCACAUGUCUUCUUUCUGUUUCUAUAAAUUUGACUAUGACGGGUAGGACAUACAAGUGGAAUCAUAGGGUAUUUGUCUUGCUGCGACCUGCUCAUUUCAUGUGGCAGCGGGUCCAGAACUCACUUCUUCCUUAGGAUCGAUGCUCGUUCCACUGGAGCUGGAUGCCCCAUGAUCUUUCUCCGUUCCUCUGUGCGUGGACACGUGGGCUGCGUCUACAUCUUGACUCUUGUGAACAACACUGCGAUGAACAGGGAUGAGCGGGGAUCCCUUCAUACUGUUGGCUUUCAGUUCUUACAGAUGUAAAAUGAAUAAGGAGUUGGCUCCAUCACAUGGAUCGAUGCUCGUUCCACUGGAGCUGGAUGCCCCAUGAUCUUUCUCCGUUCCUCUGUGCGUGGACACGUGGGCUGCGUCUACAUCUUGACUCUUGUGAACAACACUGCGAUGAACAGGGAUGAGCGGGGAUCCCUUCAUACUGUUGGCUUUCAGUUCUUACAGAUGUAAAAUGAAUAAGGAGUUGGCUCCAUCACAUGGAUCGAUGCUCGUUCCACUGGAGCUGGAUGCCCCAUGAUCUUUCUCCGUUCCUCUGUGCGUGGACACGUGGGCUGCGUCUACAUCUUGACUCUUGUGAACAACACUGCGAUGAACAGGGAUGAGCGGGGAUCCCUUCAUACUGUUGGCUUUCAGUUCUUACAGAUGUAAAAUGAAUAAGGAGUUGGCUCCAUCACAUGGAUCGAUGCUCGUUCCACUGGAGCUGGAUGCCCCAUGAUCUUUCUCCGUUCCUCUGUGCGUGGACACGUGGGCUGCGUCUACAUCUUGACUCUUGUGAACAACACUGCGAUGAACAGGGAUGAGCGGGGAUCCCUUCAUACUGUUGGCUUUCAGUUCUUACAGAUGUAAAAUGAAUAAGGAGUUGGCUCCAUCACAUGAAGCGACAAGUGAACAUCAUCAACAGAAAGAAGGCAGCCGAUGGUCCGUUGUCAGCAUGACUCUUUGGUCCAGAUGAUGCUUCCAGUCUCUCGGGGUAUGACCCCUGCCAGUGGGGUCGCAGAAACCUAGACUGAAUUCCACUAAUCAGAAGGAACGUUGUACACUAGGACCCCCAGAGUCAGUAUCUUCAAGCUCCACGAGGAAAGGAAACAAAAGAUCCUCAGGACAAAAUGUAGGUUGGAUUACUACUGUCUUUGUAGUUGGGCCCAUGAAGCACAGACAUGCCAGUAAUCUUGACAGCACACAGAAUACAAGCAAGACCGAAGGAUGUGGGUGGUGAAUGUGCCCCAACCAGUGACUCUGUGACUGUAGCUGCAACAUCCAGGCUGUUCUGGCCACCAGCAGGGCUGCGGUCACACAGCACCACAGGCUGCAGGACAGAAAGGUGUUGCUCCAGCUGGGGCCUCACUCCGGUCCAUGCAUCUUGUCAGCACAAUUUGUGAAUCCUAGAGUUUCAUAGAUCAGAAGCCAAUGAUAUAGCCAAUGAUCACCCAAAAUAAUCUCUUUAUUCAUUCAUUCAUUCAUUCAGGAGAGCGAGAGAGGGAAAGAGCAUGGGCAUGAGCAUGCGGAGUAAGGGAGCAGAGGCAGAAGGAGAGAGAGAAUCCCAAGCCGACUUUCCACUUGGGGCAGAGCCUGACACAUGGCUCCAUCCCUGGAGCCCUCAACCAUGAGCUCAAAACCAAGAGCCACCCAAGUGCUCUGAUAAUCUCCCCAUUUAAGGGCCACAUUAACACCUUUAAUUCCCCAUUGCCAUGUCCAGUCAUGCAUUCACAGGCUGGGGAGCAGGCAUGGACAUCUCUGGGUGCAACUCUUCUGCCUACCGCACUCAGUUUCCACUGUCUCCUCCCUGAGGCCCUCUCCAGCUGGUAAGCAGAGCGAUACCACUAGAACAGCAUCAUAUAAGAUAGAUCAUGUCACUUCUGGAAUAUCAAUCAAUCCAAAAACAGUCUCUUUACAGACUUCCAGUGGCCCAUCAAAUAAGGCACAGAGUCCCUCUUGUGGCCCCCAGAGCCCUGCAUGAUGGGUCCCCAGGCUUCAGGCACACUGGCUGCUCCAGGAUUGGGGGCAGGUGGGUGUGAAUAGGGAUGGUGGGUCUCCCCGGCCUUUCACUCAUGGAGGGAUAUUUCAUUUCUUUUUAUUGUGUGGUGAGGUCGUGAAGGUCGUGAAGAGUUAAGCCUCUGGGUCAUUUUCUCCCUGAAGAGCUCCUCCAUGUAGCUCUUUAGACGUUGUGCUAGCCUUCCUGUGAUCAUCGGCUCAGCAUGUUCCAGCAGCUUUAUGGACUCGGCCUCUACCUUAGUGAAACAAGCCUGUGAGUGGUUGAUCCAGCUGGACCAAAGAAUAACAGAAUCUGCGAUUACACCCUUGUCUGAAGUCCCCACUGUGGGAGGAUGGCGAAUAGUAGCUAUUACCGUAUUGAACUAUGAUCCUUUUCUGCUAAAUUUUGAGGGGGGCUCAAAAACCACAAGUAGUAUUUUUGUCUCUAGGAUUCAAGGUACCUCUACAUAACUGAUGCCAUAUUUUGGUUUCGUUUUUUAAAUUGUGAUAUAAUUGACACACAAUGUUAUUGUAGUUUCUGGUACAACAGAACUAGUAUUGAACAGAAAGCCUAGUUAAUACCUGUUACCACACAUUACAAAAUUUAUUUUUCUUGUGAUAAGAACUGUUAAGAUCUACUCUCUUAGCAACUUUCAAAUAUGCUAAAAAGUGUUAUUAACUGUAGUCCUCAUGCUGUGCAUUACAUCCCCAAGACCUUUCUUAUAUUAUAAUCAGGUGUUUGUACCUUUUGAGGAUCUGCACCAUUACGUUUCCCAUCCCACUCUGCUUCUGGCAACCACCUGUUUAUUCUCUGUAUCUGUGAACUUGUUUUUUCUUAAUUUUUGUUUUUAUGAUCCACAUAUAAGUGACGUCAUAUGGUAUUUGUCUUUCUCUAAAUUAUUUCAUUUAUCAUAUUGUUCUGAAGGUCUAUAUAUGGUGUCACAACUGGCAAGAUUUCCUCCUUUUAAUUAAUUAAUUAAUUAAUUAAUUUAGAGGGAGCACGUGUAAGCAGGGGUGCCACAGAGCCAGGAUAGUUGGAUGUGAACAUAUGAAGAAAGACUCAGAAUCUCACUGAAUUUUCAUCCGAGACCUGGACUCAGACCCUGAGGCUGCGGCAGGAGGCGCGGGAUUAGCAGCAGCGGCAGGCGGAGGAAGAAGCCCGGUGGGCCCGAGAGGCCCAGGCCUGGGCGCAGCUCAAGGAGCAGGAAGUGUUGCAGCUGCAGGAGGAAGCAAAAAAUUUCAUUACCCGAGAGAACCUGGAGGCACGGGUGGAAGAAGCAUUGGACUCGCUGCUGAAGAGCUACAAUUGGGCUAUCACCAGGGAAGGGCUGGUGGUCAGACCACAGCAUAAGGGAUCGUAAGGGUCCAGUAAGGACAGUGCCCACCCAGGGACCAUGUGUGUAUGGGGUAGGAGGGUUGAGCCGGAUCUGGAAUAGAUAUGUUGUUGCUGCUUGGGAAGAAGGAGGCUCAGCCUAUUCCAGUGUCCUCCUCACAUUCUGCCCUGCACCCACCACCUGGUUGGCAGUUCCCAUAUACACUGUCCUGUUCUACACCAUGUACGACUCAGCAAAGCAGCAGACCUUAGAGGUUUCCAGCUCACAGUGGCGCAGAAUGGACCACAGUCCCCUCGAUCAACUAGGUCAUUUACUAAGUGUCAUCAAGGACAUGGACAGAGGUUGGCAAAUUACAGUCCUUUGGCCCAAUCUGUCCUACUGCCUGUUUUUGUAAAUAAAUUUUAUUGGAACACACACACAAAAAAA
Canis lupus familiaris (dog) is the source of this 4279-nucleotide long non-coding RNA. RefSeq lists it as uncharacterized. The record is from RefSeq and is a predicted model, not a curated record. Lineage: Eukaryota; Metazoa; Chordata; Mammalia; Carnivora; Canidae. The transcript is spliced from 6 exons.